GAAGAUCUGAGUAGUAUCUGCUCAAGCAUUUUCCAUUGAUUCUGCGACAUGCUUCUGCAAUGGUGAGAGCUGCAUCAGUAACAUGUUUUGCGGGCAUAACUUCCUCUGUAUUCUUCUCUCUUGCGAAGGAGAAACAGGAUUUCAUUCUUUCUGCUGCGAUUAAUGCAGCCAAACAAGACGAGGUGCCUUCAGUUAGAUCAGCUUCUUGUCGAGCCAUUGGUGUCAUUUCAUGUUUUCCUGAAGUUU
Humulus lupulus (European hop) is the source of this 246-nucleotide long non-coding RNA. RefSeq lists it as uncharacterized. NCBI's taxonomy places the organism in Eukaryota, Viridiplantae, Streptophyta, Magnoliopsida, Rosales, Cannabaceae. The transcript is spliced from 3 exons. The record is from RefSeq and is a predicted model, not a curated record.